Molecule: ribosomal RNA, 1225 nt
Filed under: Staphylococcus aureus
Lineage: Bacteria; Bacillati; Bacillota; Bacilli; Caryophanales; Staphylococcaceae
Description: partial 23S ribosomal RNA
Rfam family: Bacterial large subunit ribosomal RNA
Source: RNAcentral
GACGAAUCAUCUGGAAAGAUGAAUCAAAGAAGGUAAUAAUCCUGUAGUCGAAAAUGUUGUCUCUCUUGAGUGGAUCCUGAGUACGACGGAGCACGUGAAAUUCCGUCGGAAUCUGGGAGGACCAUCUCCUAAGGCUAAAUACUCUCUAGUGACCGAUAGUGAACCAGUACCGUGAGGGAAAGGUGAAAAGCACCCCGGAAGGGGAGUGAAAUAGAACCUGAAACCGUGUGCUUACAAGUAGUCAGAGCCCGUUAAUGGGUGAUGGCGUGCCUUUUGUAGAAUGAACCGGCGAGUUACGAUUUGAUGCAAGGUUAAGCAGUAAAUGUGGAGCCGUAGCGAAAGCGAGUCUGAAUAGGGCGUUUAGUAUUUGGUCGUAGACCCGAAACCAGGUGAUCUACCCUUGGUCAGGUUGAAGUUCAGGUAACACUGAAUGGAGGACCGAACCGACUUACGUUGAAAAGUGAGCGGAUGAACUGAGGGUAGCGGAGAAAUUCCAAUCGAACCUGGAGAUAGCUGGUUCUCUCCGAAAUAGCUUUAGGGCUAGCCUCAAGUGAUGAUUAUUGGAGGUAGAGCACUGUUUGGACGAGGGGCCCCUCUCGGGUUACCGAAUUCAGACAAACUCCGAAUGCCAAUUAAUUUAACUUGGGAGUCAGAACAUGGGUGAUAAGGUCCGUGUUCGAAAGGGAAACAGCCCAGACCACCAGCUAAGGUCCCAAAAUAUAUGUUAAGUGGAAAAGGAUGUGGCGUUGCCCAGACAACUAGGAUGUUGGCUUAGAAGCAGCCAUCAUUUAAAGAGUGCGUAAUAGCUCACUAGUCGAGUGACACUGCGCCGAAAAUGUACCGGGGCUAAACAUAUUACCGAAGCUGUGGAUUGUCCUUUGGACAAUGGUAGGAGAGCGUUCUAAGGGCGUUGAAGCAUGAUCGUAAGGACAUGUGGAGCGCUUAGAAGUGAGAAUGCCGGUGUGAGUAGCGAAAGACGGGUGAGAAUCCCGUCCACCGAUUGACUAAGGUUUCCAGAGGAAGGCUCGUCCGCUCUGGGUUAGUCGGGUCCUAAGCUGAGGCCGACAGGCGUAGGCGAUGGAUAACAGGUUGAUAUUCCUGUACCACCUAUAAUCGUUUUAAUCGAUGGGGGGACGCAGUAGGAUAGGCGAAGCGUGCGAUUGGAUUGCACGUCUAAGCAGUAAGGCUGAGUAUUAGGCAAAUCCGGUACUCGUUAAGGCUGAGC